CGUUGAAGACUACAACGUUGAUAGGCAAGAUGUGGAAGUGGUGUGAGCCAUUAAGCUAACUUGUACUAAUUACCCGUGAGGCUUAACCAU
RNAcentral lists this ribosomal RNA (90 nucleotides) under Pseudoalteromonas distincta. RNAcentral describes it as "partial 23S ribosomal RNA". It matches the Rfam family "Bacterial large subunit ribosomal RNA", at positions 2836 to 2925 of the family's 2925-position model. RNAcentral also lists the same sequence under 2 other names. The record is from RNAcentral. Lineage: Bacteria; Pseudomonadati; Pseudomonadota; Gammaproteobacteria; Alteromonadales; Pseudoalteromonadaceae.